CAGUAGCCACGGUAAUACGUAGGUGGCAAGCGUUGUCCGGAAUUAUUGGGCGUAAAGGGCUCGCAGGCGGUUUCUUAAGUCUGAUGUGAAAGCCCCCGGCUCAACCGGGGAGGGUCAUUGGAAACUGGGAAACUUGAGUGCAGAAGAGGAGAGUGGAAUUCCACGUGUAGCGGUGAAAUGCGUAGAGAUGUGGAGGAACACCAGUGGCGAAGGCGACUCUCUGGUCUGUAACUGACGCUGAGGAGCGAAAGCGGGGGGAGCGAACAGGAUUAGAUACCCCGGUAGUCCCUGUCUCUUAUAC
This 301-nucleotide ribosomal RNA is filed under the name uncultured bacterium. Its description in RNAcentral is "partial 16S ribosomal RNA". It matches the Rfam family "Bacterial small subunit ribosomal RNA", at positions 509 to 807 of the family's 1533-position model. The record is from RNAcentral.